GCUCACAUUGAACGCUGGCGGCAGGCCUAACACAUGCAAGUCGAGCGGUAGCACAAGAGAGCUUGCUCUCUGGGUGACGAGCGGCGGACGGGUGAGUAAUGUCUGGGAAACUGCCUGAUGGAGGGGGAUAACUACUGGAAACGGUAGCUAAUACCGCAUGACGUCUUCGGACCAAAGUGGGGGACCUUCGGGCCUCACGCCAUCAGAUGUGCCCAGAUGGGAUUAGCUAGUAGGUGGGGUAAUGGCUCACCUAGGCGACGAUCUCUAGCUGGUCUGAGAGGAUGACCAGCCACACUGGAACUGAGACACGGUCCAGACUCCUACGGGAGGCAGCAGUGGGGAAUAUUGCACAAUGGGCGCAAGCCUGAUGCAGCCAUGCCGCGUGUAUGAAGAAGGCCUUCGGGUUGUAAAGUACUUUCAGCGAGGAGGAAGGCAUUGUGGUUAAUAACCACAGUGAUUGACGUUACUCGCAGAAGAAGCACCGGCUAACUCCGUGCCAGCAGCCGCGGUAAUACGGAGGGUGCAAGCGUUAAUCGGAAUUACUGGGCGUAAAGCGCACGCAGGCGGUUGAUUAAGUCAGAUGUGACAUCCCCGAGCUUAACUUGGGAACUGCAUUUGAAACUGGUCAGCUAGAGUCUUGUAGAGGGGGGUAGAAUUCCAGGUGUAGCGGUGAAAUGCGUAGAGAUCUGGAGGAAUACCGGGUGAAUAGGCGGCCCCCUGGACAAAGACUGACGCUCAGGUGCGAAAGCGUGGGGAGCAAACAGGAUUAGAUACCCUGGUAGUCCACGCUGUAAACGAUGUCGACUUGGAGGUUGUGCCUUGAGGCGUGCGUUCCGGAGCUAACGCGUUAAGUCGACCGCCUGGGGAGUACGGCCGCAAGGUUAAAACUCAAAUGAAUUGACGGGGGCCCGCACAAGCGGUGGAGCAUGUGGUUUAAUUCGAUGCAACGCGAAGAACCUUACCUACUCUUGACAUCCAGAGAAUUUAGCAGAGAUGCUUUAGUGCCUUCGGGAACUCUGAGACAGGUGCUGCAUGGCUGUCGUCAGCUCGUGUUGUGAAAUGUUGGGUUAAGUCCCGCAACGAACGCAACCCUUAUCCUUUGUUGCCAGCACGUAAUGGUGGGAACUCAAAGGAGACUGCCGGUGAUAAACCGGAGGAAGGUGGGGAUGACGUCAAGUCAUCAUGGCCCUUACGAGUAGGGCUACACACGUGCUACAAUGGCAUAUACAAAGAGAAGCGAACUCGCGAGAGCAAGCGGACCUCAUAAAGUAUGUCGUAGUCCGGAUUGGAGUCUGCAACUCGACUCCAUGAAGUCGGAAUCGCUAGUAAUCGUAGAUCAGAAUGCUACGGUGAAUACGUUCCCGGGCCUUGUACACACCGCCCGUCACACCAUGGGAGUGGGUUGCAAAAGAAGUAGGUAGCUUAACCUUCGGGAGGGCGCUUACCACUUUGUGAUUCAUGACUGGGGUGAAGUCGUAACAAGGUAGCCGU
This 1491-nucleotide ribosomal RNA is filed under the name uncultured bacterium. Its description in RNAcentral is "bacterial SSU rRNA". It matches the Rfam family "Bacterial small subunit ribosomal RNA". The record is from RNAcentral.